AUUGAACGCUGGCGGUAUGCUUAACACAUGCAAGUCGAACGGUAGCAGCUCUUCGGAGGCUGACGAGUGGCGGACGGGUGAGUAACGCGUAGGAAUCUGCCUGUUAGUGGGGGACAACUUAGGGAAACUUAAGCUAAUACCGCAUACGCCCUACGGGGGAAAGGAGGGGAUCUUCGGACCUUUCGCUAACAGAUGAGCCUGCGUAGGAUUAGCUAGUUGGUAGGGUAAAAGCCUACCAAGGCGACGAUCCUUAGCUGUUCUGAGAGGAAGAUCAGCCACACUGGGACUGAGACACGGCCCAGACUCCUACGGGAGGCAGCAGUGGGGAAUAUUGGACAAUGGGCGAAAGCCUGAUCCAGCAAUACCGCGUGUGUGAAGAAGGCCUUAGGGUUGUAAAGCACUUUCAAUUGGAAGGAAAAACCAGGGUCAAUACCCCUGGUCUUGACAUUACCUUUAGAAGAAGCACCGGCUAACUCCGUG
Molecule: ribosomal RNA, 480 nt
Filed under: uncultured bacterium
Lineage: Bacteria
Description: bacterial SSU rRNA
Rfam family: Bacterial small subunit ribosomal RNA
Source: RNAcentral